CUUAAAUCCCACGGCCCAACCGUGGGGCUGGGGGAGAUACUGCUGGGCUAGGGGGCGGGAGAGGCCGAGGGUACUCCUGGGGUAGGGGCGAAAUCCUAUAAUCCUGGGAGGACCACCAGUGGCGAAGGCGCUCGGCCAGAACGCGCCCGACGGUGAGGGACGAAAGCUGGGGGAGCAAAGGGGAUUAGAUACCCCCGUAGUCCCAGCUGUAAACGAUGCGGGCUAGGUGUUGGGCGGACUUCGAGUCCGCCCAGUGCCGUAGGGAAACCAUUAAGCCCGCCGCCUGGGGAGUACGGCCGCAAGGCUGAAACUUAAAGGAAUUGGCGGGGGAGCACCACAAGGGGUGAAUGCUGCGGUUUAAUUGGAGUCAACGCCGGGAACCUUACCGGGGGCGACAGCAGGAUGACGGCCAGGCUGACGACCUUGCCAGACGCGCUGAGAGGAGGUACAUCGCCGUCGCCAGUUCGUGCCGUGAGGUGUCCGGUUAAGUUCGGCAACGAACGAGACCCCCACCCCCAGUUGCUACCGCACCCCUGCGGGGGUACGGGCACUCUGGGGGGACUGCCGGCGCUGAGCCGGAGGAAGGAGGGGGCCACGGCAGGUCAGCAUGCCCCGAAACCCCCGGGCCACACGCGGCAUGCAAUGGUGGGGACAAUGGGUUCCGACCCCGAAAGGGGGAGGCAAUCCCAUAAACCCCACCUCAGUUGGGAUUGAGGGCUGCAACUCGCCCUCACGAACAUGGAAUCC
This 747-nucleotide ribosomal RNA is filed under the name uncultured Thermoprotei archaeon. RNAcentral's name for it is "bacterial SSU rRNA". It matches the Rfam family "Archaeal small subunit ribosomal RNA", at positions 544 to 1290 of the family's 1478-position model. Lineage: Archaea; Thermoproteati; Thermoproteota; Thermoprotei. The record is from RNAcentral.